AUGAAUUGUCAACACGAGUUGUUGCUGGCCCUCAAACGGGGGCAUGUGCACACUCUGUUUUCAUCCACUCACACCUGUGCACCCCUGCGGUUCUAUGGUCUGGGAGACCCCGUCUUCCUUCUGUGGUUCUGCAUCUUUACACACACACUGUAACCUGGUCUUAUGGAAUGUAUGCAGCGUUUAACGCAAUAUAAUACAACUUUCAGCAACGGAUCUCUUGGCUCUCGCAUCGAUGAAGAACGCAGCGAAAUGCGAUAAGUAAUGUGAAUUGCAGAAUUCAGUGAAUCAUCGAAUCUUUGAACGCACCUUGCGCCCUUUGGCUAUUCCGAAGGGCAUGCCUGUUUGAGUAUCGUGAACACCUCAACCCUCAUGGUUUACCAUGAUGAGAUUGGACUCUGGAGGUCUUGCUGGCCCUCGGUCGGCUCCUCUCAAAUGAAUUAGCUUACCAGUGCAUGGUGGCACCACAGGUGUGAUAACUAUCUGCUCUUGUGGUUGUACGCCAGGUAACCUUCAACACUGAAGGUUUGCUGGAGCUCAUAAACGUCUCUCCUUGUGAAGACAGCCUUUUGAAUGUUUGAUCUCAAAUCAGGUAGGACUACCCGCUGAACUUAAGCAUAUCAAUAAGCGGAGGAAAAGAAACUAACAAGGAUUCCCCUAGUAACUGCGAGUGAAGCG
Molecule: ribosomal RNA, 675 nt
Filed under: uncultured Tomentella
Lineage: Eukaryota; Fungi; Basidiomycota; Agaricomycetes; Thelephorales; Thelephoraceae
Description: eukaryotic LSU rRNA
Rfam family: 5.8S ribosomal RNA (bases 198-352)
Source: RNAcentral